Molecule: long non-coding RNA, 758 nt
Organism: Neofelis nebulosa (Clouded leopard)
Lineage: Eukaryota; Metazoa; Chordata; Mammalia; Carnivora; Felidae
Exons: 2
Source: RefSeq, a predicted model, not a curated record
GCUGUCUGUUUGCACCUGUGGAGAUUUUUCUGUCCCUCUGCAGCCUGUACUCCUGGUAUUCCGAGUGUUGUGACCUCAAUACUGCUGUGUUUGAGGGACAAGGGAAAUUCUGAUCCCCCUCCUCUGCCAUCUUAACUCCUCCCGCCUCCUUUUACUUUCCUUUUCACAACUUCAGAGUUCUGUGUAGGUUUGCAUUAUAUCAGUUUAAUAUGUUUUAUAGAUAUUUAUGAUGGGCUUUUUUCUUACUUGGACUGUAUUGAUCUGAAUUUUCUGUCUUUUUCUUUUCUUAAAGUUUAUUCAUUUAUUAAUUGGAGAGAGAGACAGAGAGAGCACCAGUGGGGAGGGGCAGAGAGACAGAGGGAGAGAGAGAAAAUCCCAAGCAGACCCUGCACUGUCAGCGCAGAACCAGAUGGGGGGCUUGAACCCAUGAACUGUGAGAUCAUGCCCGGAGCCAAAAUCAAGAGUCAGGUGCUAACUGACUGAGGCAUUCAGGCGGCCCUAACAUGUUCUUCCUACGUCCCCUGGGAAGGAACAGCAAAGUCAGCAACGGAAGCAAAGGAAGAUGGUGUUGGUAUUAUUGAAAAUGUGCCACCAGAGCAAACAGUUAAUGGCAGUUUGACUUCUGCUGGUGGAGUGCAUAAAAAUGACAGAAGUGGUAAGCUAGUGAAUCUCUGUGAGUUGUUUUCCUAUGAUUAAAUGCUAGUACGAGAAAAAUCUGAAAGUAUGUAGAUCCAAAUAUAUUAUCCUUUAUUCGCGAA